Molecule: ribosomal RNA, 372 nt
Filed under: uncultured bacterium
Lineage: Bacteria
Description: bacterial SSU rRNA
Rfam family: Bacterial small subunit ribosomal RNA
Source: RNAcentral
ACGAAGGGGGCUAGCGUUGCUCGGAAUGACUGGGCGUAAAGGGCGCGUAGGCGGAUGGCACAGUCAGAUGUGAAAUUCCCGGGCUUAACCUGGGGGCUGCAUUUGAUACGUGUGAUCUAGAGUGAGGAAGAGGGUCGUGGAAUUCCCAGUGUAGAGGUGAAAUUCGUAGAUAUUGGGAAGAACACCGGUGGCGAAGGCGGCGACCUGGUCCUUUACUGACGCUGAGGCGCGAAAGCGUGGGGAGCAAACAGGAUUAGAUACCCUGGUAGUCCACGCUGUAAACGAUGUGUGCUGGAUGUUGGGCGACCUAGUCGCUCAGUGUCGUAGCUAACGCGAUAAGCACACCGCCUGGGGAGUACGGCCGCAAGGUUG